Non-coding RNA from Thermobacillus composti KWC4, 102 nucleotides. The record is from Rfam. NCBI's taxonomy places the organism in Bacteria, Bacillati, Bacillota, Bacilli, Caryophanales, Paenibacillaceae.
UCGGUCGCGAGGCCGAAUCUGAAGGAAGCCUUAAGGCAAACUCCAAAGCCGCCAAGGGCUAAUCCUGUAAACUCCAGUGGUCGCGGGCGGAAAGAUGACGCG